This is an RNA transcript of Brassica napus (rape), 894 nucleotides long. It is a transcript of the gene named 40S ribosomal protein S13-2, with no coding region annotated. NCBI's taxonomy places the organism in Eukaryota, Viridiplantae, Streptophyta, Magnoliopsida, Brassicales, Brassicaceae. The transcript is spliced from 6 exons. The record is from RefSeq and is a predicted model, not a curated record.
UUCUGAAUGAGCCUGUAAGAGGCCUUCCGGAAUUAAAAGUGAGGAGAUGUGUAGCAACGACCUUAAGAGACUAUAUAUAUUAGCAACUAGGGUUUUGAUCACUGCAGUCGCGCCGGAAGAAACCGAGGAAGAACGAUCUACAGAGAAAGUAAACUCCGUGCACAGCCGUCGACAUGGGCCGACUCCACUCUAAAGGUAAGGGAAUCUCAGCAUCUGCUUUGCCGUAUAAGAGAUCACCCCCAAGUUGGCUCAAGACAACCUCCCAGGAUGUUGAUGAAUCCAUCUGCAAGUUUGCGAAGAAGGGUUUGACCCCAUCUCAGAUAGGUGUCAUUCUUCGUGACUCUCACGGAAUCCCACAGGUCAAGAGUGUUACUGGAAACAAGAUCUUGAGAAUCUUGAAAGCUCAUGGUCUUGCUCCUGAGAUCCCUGAGGAUCUAUAUCACCUAAUCAAGAAAGCAGUUGCUAUCCGCAAGCACCUUGAGAGGAACAGGAAAGACAAGGAUUCCAAGUUCAGGUUGAUUCUUGUAGAGAGCAGAAUCCACCGUCUCGCUCGUUACUACAAGAAGACCAAGAAGCUCCCUCCCGUCUGGAAGUAAUUUGGAGUUUAUUUGAGCAUCUGGAGUUCUUAGAUACCACUUCUUCUUGUUGCUAAGGUGAGACCGACGAGCAAGAGUGAUUAUCGGACCAGUGCUAUUGGGUUUUUGGGCUUCUAUCGCUUUUACCGCUUUUAUCUUUAUUGGGCCUUUGGACUUUUAUCGUUUAUGUUAUUCCUAUUUCAGACUUUCGGUUUAUGUCGUAUUUUAUAUUUCGGAUGUUAUCGAUGUUGGGCUUUUAGGCCUUUUGGUAUUGUAUUGACUUUUAUAUUAUGGUGGAAAUUAUUAUUAUUAUUUUAUU